Molecule: long non-coding RNA, 1166 nt
Organism: Dermacentor andersoni
Lineage: Eukaryota; Metazoa; Arthropoda; Arachnida; Ixodida; Ixodidae
Source: RefSeq, a predicted model, not a curated record
AAUGGGUGAUCCAUCAAAAUUGACAGGUGGUUCCGAGUGAAGAAAGGAACACAGAUAGGCUUUCGCCUAUCGUAGUUUAGCUCAGCAAUGUGCCCAUAGAUUUUUUAUGAACUCGCUGAACAAUCGGACGAUGGACUGUGACUGUAUUUAUGAUGGGUAGCGUUUCUUUUUCGGAAGUGCGAAGAAGUCGACACAGAUGUGCCAUGGGUUGAAUGGCGAGCUAGUUUUGUGCGAGCCUUACAUUGCUUGGAACCCUAUAGAAUGCUGGGAAAAGGCCAUUGCAUUCAAGCUCCGAUGCCCGUACACGGUAUGGUGCCACGCAGAGAUCAAGAAGAGAAACGCCUGGAGGAUGAGCAGACGACAACGUGGUAUGGCCACGCUUUCACGGGGCUAGUCCGGGCUGUGCCGACACCUGCCGAGCGGUCACAUGCGUUUGUUCGCCUAUUUCGCUCGUACGAUGGUCAAGAACAACAAUAGUAACCGCAUGUGGUGCAUUUCCCACUGCAGGCAAAAACCGAAUUUCCCACAAUGAGAUACGUCUUCUUUCCGGCAAAAUCCGCCAAGAAACAAUGGUGAGGCUACGGAUAGGCAGGGUCGUAACCCCACAUAGAACAUUCCCUUAUGUGCUGUACUCUGUAUAACGCGGAAAGGAGUGUGUUACUCGGGUCCCUCAAGAAGACACGAGUUCCUCACAGUUCUCUUCAGGGCAUUGUUUUCCCACGCGGAAACCAGUUGUGUAGGAAGGAGGUUUCUCGCCUUCUUUUAGAUUACCUGCAGGACACGGAUUUGGCCUCCACAUGGCGAUCUUAGGAGUGAUUACUGUAAUUGUGAGGUCUAUGACUGAUUUAUGUAAUUUAUUUAUUUUAAGUGUCCCUACGGUGGAGCAAUUGCCGGCAGCAACUGCAAAGGCUAAUCCCACCAGUAGCCUACAACCACUCAACUCAACAACUCGACUCACCCAGCCGAUGAAGAUGAUUAUGUGCAAUUACAGAAAGUGGCAGCGGGCAUUUGAAUUGGACAGCUAGAGAAGUUACAGACAUUCGCGCGUAUGGGCUAUGUCUGCACUUGCUUUAGUUUUAUUUCUUUAUUUUUUUUAAUUUUCAGCGCACCGGUUGUAGGAUUUCCGGCAGUCACAUUAGGCAAAUAAAAUUUUUCUGGUAUGCUUA